GCUGUGGAACUCCUACGGGAGGCAGCAGUGGGGAAUCUUGCGCAAUGGGCGAAAGCCUGACGCAGCCAUGCCGCGUGAAUGAUGAAGGUCUUAGGAUUGUAAAAUUCUUUCACCGGGGACGAUAAUGACGGUACCCGGAGAAGAAGCCCCGGCUAACUUCGUGCCAGCAGCCGCGGUAAUACGAAGGGGGCUAGCGUUGCUCGGAAUUACUGGGCGUAAAGGGAGCGUAGGCGGACAUUUAAGUCAGGGGUGAAAUCCCGGGGCUCAACCUCGGAACUGCCCUUGAUACUGGAUGUCUUGAGUGUGAGAGAGGUAUGUGGAACUCCGAGUGUAGAGGUGAAAUUCGUAGAUAUUCGGAAGAACACCAGUGGCGAAGGCGACAUACUGGCUCAUUACUGACGCUGAGGCUCGAAAGCGUGGGGAGCAAACAGGAUUAGAAACCCCUGUAGUCCUACCACGU
RNAcentral lists this ribosomal RNA (460 nucleotides) under uncultured bacterium. RNAcentral describes it as "bacterial SSU rRNA". It matches the Rfam family "Bacterial small subunit ribosomal RNA", at positions 327 to 800 of the family's 1533-position model. The record is from RNAcentral.